Pelobates cultripes (western spadefoot toad) is the source of this 205-nucleotide non-coding RNA. The record is from the annotation of a GenBank genome assembly. Lineage: Eukaryota; Metazoa; Chordata; Amphibia; Anura; Pelobatidae.
CUUGGCCCCCAGCAAGUACCCCAGACCUUUCAAUAUCACUUGUUAUAUACCCUUUAGCUUUAUCUCAAGUUCCCAGCCUUACCAGAGGCGGAGAUGGCGUACCUAUAGACACAAUAAGUAGCCACUCCCUUGUGUUCCAGAAAACAACAAGCCAAAUAUAAACUUUUGGUUUUAUCUCCUCUACUGUACUUGCCGCAGAAAUAAU